Molecule: small nuclear RNA, 105 nt
Organism: Camelus dromedarius (Arabian camel)
Lineage: Eukaryota; Metazoa; Chordata; Mammalia; Artiodactyla; Camelidae
Source: Ensembl
GUGCUCACUUUGGCAGCAUGUAUACUAAAAAUGGAACUUUACAGGGAAGAUUAGUGUGAUCCUUGUGCAAAGAUGGUACAAAUUUAUGAAGCAUUAUAUAUAUCU